GAGAUUACGCCACUGCACCCCAACCUGGGCCACAGAGCCAGACUCUGUCUCAAAAAAAAAAAAAGAAACAGAAAGAGGUCAGGCGCAGUGGCUCACAACUGUAACCUCAAGCACUUUGGGAGGCCGAGAUGGGAGGAUCACUUGUGCCCAGGAAUUUGGGACCAGCGUGGCAACAUAAUAGAGGUUCUGACAGGAGAAUUUAUAUACAGGAUGUAUACCAUUGACAUGCACAGCCAGCUGGAAUUGACUGCUUCGUUGAUACCCCAGCCAGGCACAUCCCUGAUUCCCCUGGUGAUGGUAAGCAACCCCCACUCCCUGGGGUUCCAGGCCACCUUCUACGAGAACGGUUACACAUCAGAUGGGAACACCAAGUACAAACUGGAUAUUUUCCUAAAACAGCAGCAGCACUGGGGCAGGACCGACUCCAACUUCACUUCCAGUUUAAAGAGAGCCACCAUGUCUACCUUAACUGUGGACAUAGCAAACAAGGAAAUUUCAUGUGUGGAUAUCAAGCCACUGUCGACACUGAUUUCAGUUGGCUGCGACCUGGAUAAAAAGAUCGUCAUCCAGAACAAAGUUACCGCCUGUUCCAUGGGCAUCCUGGACCCCUUGGCCCUGCAAGACAAUUACAGCUUCAUCAUUGAGAAGGAAUUCUACCACCCCGGCUUCCAGGGGCAGCAGUCCUCCGAGGACCUGCACGUGUUUUACUCCUACCAGCAGCUGGGCUGUCCUCUCCUCGUCUACUAUGACACCCUAUGGAAGCCCGUCGUGGAGCUGUGGCGAAAAGACAGUUUCCAGGAGGUCAUCGAUGCCGAGUAUGUGUUACUGGAGGUGAACGGGCAGUUCUCAUACUCCUAUUCCCUGACGGCCCAGUCGGCCAUGUGCACCUCCCAGCCGCAGAACUGGACCACCAUGAUAAAGGAAUUCGGGGGGCCCUUCUUCUGGAACAGAGAGAACUAUGUGAGCUGCCACGACCCCAACAACAAUGCCCCUUUGAGGUGGCCAGACGUCCAGUAUCAGAUCUUGGGCGGCCAGACAGCAAACCAGAUCAUUUUCGGCCACAAUGGCUUUUAUGUCUUCUACAUUUCGAUCGUGGAUCCGUACUACAGCUACUGUCAACUGGAGACCAUCUUUAGCAUCUACGUGUAUGGAGCAUUCCCCGUGCAGCUGGUCUCUGCUGGAGUCGUCAUCCUACUGAUCAUCUCCAGCAUCCUGGGGUCCGUUUGGCUAGCCUACAAGACCCCCAAGCUGCUACGCACAGCACGCGGCCGCAGGAUCAAGAAGUGUGCGACACAGCUGUGUAGGAGAUGCAAGACGGUCUGCCAGUUCAGGGCCUCAGCCACAGCCAGGGCAGGCACAGAGCCCCCGGGACGCCACCGCACUCCUCACGGAGGCAGGUCUGACCACUGAGGCCGGUCCACAGGGUCCCAACCCCUCGUCUUCAAAUAAAGUAUAAUGUAACAUAGCA
RNAcentral lists this small RNA (1468 nucleotides) under Pan troglodytes (chimpanzee). RNAcentral's name for it is "processed transcript". Lineage: Eukaryota; Metazoa; Chordata; Mammalia; Primates; Hominidae. The record is from RNAcentral.